AACAUUUCAACUGUAGCUCAUAACACUGGGUCACUGACAUAUUAUUUACAUGAUGAUGUGAUCAGUAGUUUUAACCUUUACAUUGUGGUAUUAGCUAUUUCCAAACAUGUAAUGGGUAGACACAGUAUGAUGAACAUCCUCUGGCUGCAGAUCUGCAUGUAGAUAACCUGUAUAGCAGAGGUAAGACAGUAUCAGGACAUUACAAAACUCUGAAUGGAUAAAGAAAGACUAUAUGACACUAAAAAGAUUACACUGCAGCUGUUAUACUGUUAUACAAAGACAGUGUCUGACCACAGCACACAGGUAGUGAACAUUGUGGUGCUGUGGGUGGCAGGAAUCCUGUAUGGUGCUGCUGUUUCUGGAGCUAAGAACAUCCUGGUCUCAUUUCAGCUGAUGGAGCCUCUCCACUGGAGUGUGGCACAGCCCGUUCUCUGAUGUUGUUCUCCCUGAUGCCCACACCAAUCAUCUGAUCUCUUUUGUCCCAACAAGUGCGUGGCUCCUCAUAUGGUACUGUCCUCACGUCACUGCAGCUGUCUCUGAAAGUUUCCAGUGCUGGCUACAGCUGCUUUACAUCAAGAUUUACCUGCACACUUUGAGCUGGUU
Molecule: long non-coding RNA, 603 nt
Organism: Lates calcarifer (barramundi perch)
Lineage: Eukaryota; Metazoa; Chordata; Actinopteri; Centropomidae
Exons: 3
Source: RefSeq, a predicted model, not a curated record